CGCGGCCUAUCAGCUUGUUGGUGGGGUCAAGGCCUACCAAGGCAACGAUGGGUAGCUGGUCUGAGAGGAUGAUCAGCCACACUGGGACUGAGACACGGCCCAGACUCCUACGGGAGGCAGCAGUGGGGAAUCUUGCGCAAUGCGCGAAAGCGUGACGCAGCAACACCGCGUGAGGGAAGACGGCCUUAGGGUUGUAAACCUCUUUCAGAUGGGACGAAGGUUCGACGGUGAAUAGCCGAUCGGAUUGACGGUACCGUCAGAAGAAGCUCCGGCUAACUACGUGCCAGCAGCCGCGGUAAUACGUAGGGAGCGAGCGUUGUCCGGAAUCAUUGGGCGUAAAGGGCUCGUAGGUGGUUGAUCGCGUCGGAAGUGUAAUCUUGGGGCUUAACCCUGAGCGUGCUUUCGAUACGGGUUGACUUGAGGAAGGUAGGGGAGAAUGGAAUUCCUGGUGGAGCGGUGGAAUGCGCAGAUAUCAGGAGGAACACCAGUGGCGAAGGCGGUUCUCUGGGCCUUUCCUGACGCUGAGGAGCGAAAGCGUGGGGAGCGAACAGGCUUAGAUACCCUGGUAGUCCACGCUGUAAACGAUGGGUACUAGAUGUGGGAGGCGUCGACUCCUCCCGUAUCGUAGCUAACGCACUAAGUGCCCCGCCUGGGGAGUACGG
Molecule: ribosomal RNA, 662 nt
Filed under: uncultured bacterium
Lineage: Bacteria
Description: bacterial SSU rRNA
Rfam family: Bacterial small subunit ribosomal RNA
Source: RNAcentral